AUUUAUGUUUAUAAAUUUUAUAUAGUUUUAGAUUAUGGUUAGUGAAAUAAAAUUCUGUUUUAUUAUUUUUAAAGAGAAAUUAGUUUUAUUUAUUAGUACUGAUAAGGAAGUUUUUAUUUUAAAAGAAAAAUUUUUUGGUUUACCUUUUGUAUCAGGGUUAAUUAAUUUUAUAUUUAGAUAGUUAUUUCCCGAAAUUAGAAGAGCUAAUUUUAUAAAUGUUAUUUAAUGUUGAAAAAUUAUUAUUAAUUAGAAAUUAGUAGUUAAACGCUAUUCGAUUAUAUUAUAUCUGGUUUUUAGAUUUUAUUUUAAUUAUUUUUAUUUAUAUUAAUAUUUAUUUAUUUAAUUAAUUAAUGGGUUAAUAUAUAAUUUUAGGUUGAGCUUAAAUAUAUUUAUAUAAAUUAUUUUUAAAUUAAUUUAUUUAGGAAUAAAAGUUUCUUUGUUUAAUUACUAAUUUUUUAUUUUUAAUAUUUUAUUUGUUUUAUUUAAAUUUAGAAAUUUAUAUUUUAAUUUUAUUUGUUUAGUAUUAAUGGUUUAAUUAGUAUAUUUAUAUUUUGUUUUUGGAGAAAUAAAAAUAGAUUGAUUUUAAGAAUUAGACAAAUUAGUUUUUACCUGUUUAUUAAAAACAUGGUUUUUUGAUUUUUAUGAAAGAUCUGGUCUGCUCAAUGAGGUUUAAAUAGCUGCAGUAAAUUAACUGUGCAAAGGUAGCAUAAUCAUUAGUUUUUUAAUUGGGAACUGGAAUGAAUGAUUGGAUGAAAGAUUAAUUUUUUUGUUUUGAUUUUUAGAAAUUUAUUUUUAAGUGAAAAAGCUUAGUUUUAUAUAGAAGACGAGAAGACCCUUUAGAAUUUUAUAUUUUUAUUUUAUUAUAAGAUUAGGAUUAUAAAUUAUUAUAUAAUAUUUAUUUUGUUGGGGUGAUAGAAAAAUUUUAUUAACUUUUUUUCUUAUUUACAAGUUAGUUGGUUUUAUGGUCCUGUAUAUGAUUAUAAGAUUAAAUUACCUAAGGGAUAACAGCGUAAUUUUUUUAGAAAGUUCAAAUUGAUAAAAGGGAUUGCGACCUCGAUGUUGGAUUAAAAUUUAAUUUAGGCGUAGGGGCUUUGUGUUUAGGUCUGUUCGACCUUUAGAAUUUUACAUGAUCUGAGUUUAAACCGGUGUGAGCCAGGUUGGUUUCUAUCUCUAUUGUUAAUAUUUAUAUUUAGUACGAAAGGAUUAAUAUUUAAUAUUAAAUAUUAUUAUUGGAUAAUUAUA
RNAcentral lists this ribosomal RNA (1242 nucleotides) under Curculionidae sp. BMNH 1040049. RNAcentral describes it as "16S ribosomal RNA". The stretch from base 1001 to 1159 matches the Rfam family "Archaeal large subunit ribosomal RNA", at positions 2544 to 2703 of the family's 2987-position model. The record is from RNAcentral. Lineage: Eukaryota; Metazoa; Arthropoda; Insecta; Coleoptera; Curculionidae.